CGCAUUUGAGAAGAUUUAUCAGCAAUUGUCUAGUGAGGUGGUUCCAAAAAUUCCUGGUUUCCAAAGAGCUUCAAAUUUAAGGAAAUAUGAAGGAAUACAGAUGUCAGAAACUGUAAAUGCUCUUGUUAACUCACCUGUUCGAUCUUUAUAUGCAAUUCCCAGAGUUAAGAGACUAGGAAAUUUUCAAAAUGAUCUUCUUUCUUCACCAGUAAAGCGACUGAAAAAUAUACCUGAACAUUUUUUUUCAACAAAAUAUCAGCAGAUUUCUCACAAGAAAUAUGGUGAUCUUCAGACAGUUGGCAUGGAUUCUGCUAGCCUACACAAUGGCAGUAACACCAGAUUUUUUAACAGUAACAACUGUCAUCAUCAGGACUCUGGGUUUCACGCUUCUUCAGAUAAAACUUUUCUUGUUAUUCCUGAUGCUUCGUUGAAAGAAUUGGAGAAUACAGAUGCCCAGUCUGGUUGGCGUAGGACAAUGCCAAAUUACAGUAGCCCUGGAAAUGCACUGAAAUGCCCCCAAAAGGUAUCCAGAAAACUAAGCUACACCGAUGGGAAGGACCGAAAUCCUAGCAAUCCCUUAGACAACGUCCUGAUCAAAACUCAGCAAGGAGCCUUUAUGGCAUACAGAGAAAAUAACAUUGUUUUAUAGUUCUUAUUUGUGGUUUGUUUGUUUUCUCAAAAAUCACAGACGUAUUAGUACAAAAAUCCUUCGUAGAUAGGAACGUUACUGUAAUACACAAUUAAUGCUGAUUUAUUCUUCCCUGUAACAUAAAUCUUCAGGAACUAACUCCAGCCUUCUUCUUAUGGUGCCUUUCAUGAUUCUUGGGCCUCGUCAGGUGUUGCAAGGAACCAGGUUUCCUUUCUAUAAAUUUAUUUGAAUUAUAUAUUUAGCAGUAUUUAUAAUAUUAGAAUGUGAUUUAUAUUAUCUUUUUAUCUGCUGAUAACUUUUAUGAUUCAAUUUUGAUUUUAAUCUUGAUUCUUAAUCUACUAGUACUAAGACCUUAACAAACUCAGCGUCUGCUGAAUUCUGUUCCAUUCCUGUUGUACAAACAUGUCAAUACAAAAUGCCUGAAAUAAACUAAGUUGUUACGUUUCUCUAUGUCCUGUC
RNAcentral lists this long non-coding RNA (1108 nucleotides) under Chrysolophus pictus (golden pheasant). RNAcentral describes it as "lncRNA (ENSCPIG00010003419.1)". Lineage: Eukaryota; Metazoa; Chordata; Aves; Galliformes; Phasianidae. The record is from RNAcentral.